AGAGUUUGAUCAUGGCUCAGGAUGAACGCUGGCGGCGUGCCUAACACAUGCAAGUCGAGCGAUCUCUUCGGAAGAGAGCGGCGGACGGGUGAGUAACGCGUGGGUAACCUGCCUCAUACACAUGGAUAACAUACCGAAAGGUAUGCUAAUACAAGAUGAUAUAAGAGAUUCGCAUGGAUUUCUUAUCAAAGCUCCGGCGGUAUGAGAUGGACCCGCGUCUGAUUAGCUAGUUGGUAAGGCAACGGCUUACCAAGGCGACGAUCAGUAGCCGACCUGAGAGGGUGAUCGGCCACAUUGGAACUGAGACACGGUCCAAACUCCUACGGGAGGCAGCAGUGGGGAAUAUUGCACAAUGGGCGAAAGCCUGAUGCAGCAACGCCGCGUGAGCGAUGAAGGCCUUCGGGUCGUAAAGCUCUGUCCUCAAGGAAGAUAAUGACGGUACUUGAGGAGGAAGCCCCGGCUAACUACGUGCCAGCAGCCGCGGUAAUACGUAGGGGGCUAGCGUUAUCCGGAUUUACUGGGCGUAAAGGGUGCGUAGGUGGUUUCUUAAGUCAGGAGUGAAAGGCUACGGCUCAACCGUAGUAAGCUCUUGAAACUGGGAAACUUGAGUGCAGGAGAGGAAAGUGGAAUUCCUAGUGUAGCGGUGAAAUGCGUAGAUAUUAGGAGGAACACCAGUAGCGAAGGCGGCUUUCUGGACUGUAACUGACACUGGGGCACGAAAGCGUGGGGAGCAAACAGGAUUAGAUACCCUGGUAGUCCACGCCGUAAACGAUGAGUACUAGGUGUCGGGGGUUACCCCCCUCGGUGCCGCAGCUAACGCAUUAAGUACUCCGCCUGGGGAGUACGCUCGCAAGAGUGAAACUCAAAGGAAUUGACGG
This 878-nucleotide ribosomal RNA is filed under the name uncultured bacterium. RNAcentral describes it as "bacterial SSU rRNA". It matches the Rfam family "Bacterial small subunit ribosomal RNA", at positions 8 to 916 of the family's 1533-position model. The record is from RNAcentral.